GACGAACGCUGGCGGCGUGCUUAACACAUGCAAGUCGAACGGAAAGGCCCUGCUUUUGUGGGGUGCUCGAGUGGCGAACGGGUGAGUAACACGUGAGUAACCUGCCCUUGACUUUGGGAUAACUUCAGGAAACUGGGGCUAAUACCGGAUAGGAGCUCCUGCUGCAUGGUGGGGGUUGGAAAGUUUCGGCGGUUGGGGAUGGACUCGCGGCUUAUCAGCUUGUUGGUGGGGUAGUGGCUUACCAAGGCUUUGACGGGUAGCCGGCCUGAGAGGGUGACCGGCCACCUUGGGCCUGAGGUACGGCCCAGACUCCUACGGGAGGCAGCAGUGGGGAAUAUUGCGCAAUGGGCGGAAGCCUGAUGCGGCAACGCCGCGUGCGGGAUGACGGCCUUCGGGUUGUAAACCGCUUUCGCCUGUGACGAAGCGUGAGUGACGGUAAUGGGUAAAGAAGCACCGGCUAACUACGUG
Molecule: ribosomal RNA, 468 nt
Filed under: uncultured bacterium
Lineage: Bacteria
Description: partial 16S ribosomal RNA
Rfam family: Bacterial small subunit ribosomal RNA
Source: RNAcentral